CCGGCAAAUGGGAGACAGAAUUUAUCUUAGUUUGCACUAUGGGCCUCAAUGGAAAUAAAAACAUAAGAUUGUUGUACGUGCUCCUCAUUGGCGACACAUGCUCCUCAUAAACACUUUUACAUUCUCAAACGUGGUGAAGAAAAUGUACCCUACAAAUGGAAAGACGUCAAUUUCCCAUAUAUGCAACGACUAUUAAUAAAUCACAGGGACAAUCGGUGAAGUAUGUGGGCAUUGAUUUACGUACUCCAGUAUUUAGCCAUGGUCAGCUAUAUGUCGCAUUGUCUAGGUGUAGUGCUGCAAGGAGAAUUACUUUAUUGUUGACCAAUGAAUCAAAGAAAGGCCGGGAUGGAGUCUUGGAAAGACAAAUAGUGGUGGUGAUUUUGUAGUCCAACAAAGGGAAGGUUUCCUCCGUCCGUUUCCAUAGGUAUAGACUUAUCCACCGUCCUUUGUGUUUCCAAAAACACAAAUCCUAGAAAAUUGAAAACCGCUCAGUCCAGAUUGAACGGACGCAAAGCAACCUCCUUUUGUUUCGCCCCAUUUUGCUUAGGUGUCUUUUAUACCAGUUGUUCUUAUAACUUCCCAAGAUAUGCCAAAACUGCAAAUCGUUACGCUAUUAGUCUAAACGGCAAAGAAAAUAAGGAUUACGUUAUCUUAAAACUCAAGUUUCAGUUUGUGAAUCCGAAUAAAUUUCAUUUUCAUACAUUAUCAUCGGAUAUCGUGAAUGUAAAAAAAUAUCGGAUCGUCAUCAAAAUCGAAGUUUAAGAGAGGCGAUUCAAUCAUUUUUUCGUUCAGAUUGUUUGUUUCUCAUAGUUUCGGUUAGGAUCUGUAAGUAGUUUCUAUCAUUUUAUCUGUUAUCAUUUUCUUUUCUUUUUUGAUAAUUAUGAGAUACUGGAUCGUUUUGUAUU
Long non-coding RNA from Papaver somniferum (opium poppy), 905 nucleotides. RefSeq lists it as uncharacterized. The record is from RefSeq and is a predicted model, not a curated record. Lineage: Eukaryota; Viridiplantae; Streptophyta; Magnoliopsida; Ranunculales; Papaveraceae. The transcript has 2 exons.